Molecule: ribosomal RNA, 323 nt
Filed under: Ctenophora environmental sample
Lineage: Eukaryota; Metazoa; Ctenophora
Description: partial Bacterial small subunit ribosomal RNA
Rfam family: Bacterial small subunit ribosomal RNA
Source: RNAcentral
UCAUGGCUCAGAUUGAACGCUGGCGGCAGGCCUAACACAUGCAAGUCGAACGGAAACAUGUCUAGCUUGCUAGAUGAUGUCGAGUGGCGGACGGGUGAGUAAUGCUUGGGAACUUGCCUUUGCGAGGGGGAUAACAGUUGGAAACGACUGCUAAUACCGCAUAAUGUCUACGGACCAAACAGGGCUUCGGCUCUGGCGCAAAGAGAGGCCCAAGUGAGAUUAGCUAGUUGGUGAGGUAAAGGCUCACCAAGGCAACGAUCUCUAGCUGUUCUGAGAGGAAGAUCAGCCACACUGGGACUGAGACACGGCCCAGACUCCUACGG